Long non-coding RNA from Gadus macrocephalus (Pacific cod), 771 nucleotides. RefSeq lists it as uncharacterized. The transcript has 2 exons. Lineage: Eukaryota; Metazoa; Chordata; Actinopteri; Gadiformes; Gadidae. The record is from RefSeq and is a predicted model, not a curated record.
UGUGCCUUUGCGUGACAGAGGAAGCAAGCAACAGAUUACUAUUCUGUCUACGAAGACUUCACAGAGGGAAGUGGUUUGUGCUGAGAGGAUGGAGUGUGAAAGAUCAGCAUCUUCAGCGGAUAAUGCUUGUGUGUUUGUGGGCGGACGGAUGCCAAUAUAUACGUGUCAGCGUUCAAACCAGUGAUGUGUUUCAGUGAAGACCCAGGGGAGCAGCCCCAUACAGGAAGUGAGUUUUGGGACCAGAGGAGGUCAAACAGAGGUCGUGGGGUGACUGAUAGAUGUCACCCGACAGACUACAGAUGUCUCCACCCCGGCCCUCAACUGCCUCUAAACCACAGGCUAUACACUGUAGACCUCUUUCCUCUUUCCUUUCUUGAGAGACACUGACAUGUGUACAGAAAAUGAAUACGAAACCAAACAAAUGCUUGAGUGAGGAUCCUUUUUGCGCGCUACAUUUUAAGCGGUUGUGCAGUUGUUGUUUUGCUCUGUUUCCAUUGUAUCAGGGUUCAAAAAAACAGCUUGUCAUAGACAAGCUGUUGUCUAUGACCUAUAAAACUCAGCCAUGUUGUACUUGUAGUGAGGUAUUCUGAGAGUUGAUUCUCAGUUCUUAAUAAAAGACGGGAAGGGUUUGUUUCAAUGUUAACCAUCAAGGUAAAAAGCUGUCAAAUGCACAUACAUAUCAACUUGUUCUUGUUUUAUGUGGCAGACUUCGUGCAGUUUCAUUACAUAUGGUCAACCAUUGUCAACAAUCAUUAAACACAUUAGCUUUUA